This 744-nucleotide ribosomal RNA is filed under the name uncultured bacterium. RNAcentral describes it as "bacterial SSU rRNA". It matches the Rfam family "Bacterial small subunit ribosomal RNA", at positions 46 to 785 of the family's 1533-position model. The record is from RNAcentral.
GCCUAACACAUGCAAGUCGAGCGGUAGAGAGAAGCUUGCUUCUCUUGAGAGCGGCGGACGGGUGAGUAAUACCUAGGAAUCUGCCUGAUAGUGGGGGAUAACGUUCGGAAACGGACGCUAAUACCGCAUACGUCCUACGGGAGAAAGCAGGGGACCUUCGGGCCUUGCGCUAUCAGAUGAGCCUAGGUCGGAUUAGCUAGUUGGUGAGGUAAUGGCUCACCAAGGCUACGAUCCGUAACUGGUCUGAGAGGAUGAUCAGUCACACUGGAACUGAGACACGGUCCAGACUCCUACGGGAGGCAGCAGUGGGGAAUAUUGGACAAUGGGCGAAAGCCUGAUCCAGCCAUGCCGCGUGUGUGAAGAAGGUCUUCGGAUUGUAAAGCACUUUAAGUUGGGAGGAAGGGCAGUUACCUAAUACGUGAUUGUCUUGACGUUACCGACAGAAUAAGCACCGGCUAACUCUGUGCCAGCAGCCGCGGUAAUACAGAGGGUGCAAGCGUUAAUCGGAAUUACUGGGCGUAAAGCGCGCGUAGGUGGUUUGUUAAGUUGAAUGUGAAAUCCCCGGGCUCAACCUGGGAACUGCAUCCAAAACUGGCAAGCUAGAGUAUGGUAGAGGGUAGUGGAAUUUCCUGUGUAGCGGUGAAAUGCGUAGAUAUAGGAAGGAACACCAGUGGCGAAGGCGACUACCUGGACUGAUACUGACACUGAGGUGCGAAAGCGUGGGGAGCAAACAGGAUUAGAUAC